CUUGGGUCGCAGCUGAAGGACAGGAUUCCAGUUGCAGAACUCUCAGCCAGUGGACCCUUUGAGAGUCAUGAUCUUCUCCGGAAAGGGUUUUCUUGUGUGCAAAGUGAACUUUUGCCCAGUCACCCUCUUGAAUUAUUCAAGAAAAAAAUUUCCAGCUCAACCAGGACAAGAUGAACUUUUCCACCCUGAGGAACAUCCAGGGUGUGUUUGCUCCCCUGAAGUGACAGAUGGAGUUCAAGGCAGUGCAACAGGUUCAGCGUCUUCCGUUUCUUCCGAGCUCAAACCUCUUGCUGGAUAUUUUGAGGGGCAACGAUGAGACCACUGGUUUUGAGGAUAUUCUUAAGGAUCCAUCACAGAGUGAACUGAUGGGCGAGCCUCACUUGAUGGAAUAUAAGCUGGGCUUGCUGUGAUGCAGGGCGCCGUGCAGGAACCACGGAUGCGCUUCUCGUAGUUGCCUCUGCUGCAGUCUGAUGUUCACAGCAUUAAAGUACUG
This 493-nucleotide long non-coding RNA is filed under the name Rattus norvegicus (Norway rat). Its description in RNAcentral is "long non-coding RNA NONRATT012867". Lineage: Eukaryota; Metazoa; Chordata; Mammalia; Rodentia; Muridae. The record is from RNAcentral.